UUAUGCCCUCCUCUUCCCGACGCUUCUCGUCACCUCCGCCGCCUCUCCUUCCCAAUCUGACCUCGGCAAUGGCUGCCCCCGGCCACGCCGCAGUGCCAGCAGGCCUUGCCGAUGGCCGCCACCGUCGAUGCCCUACCGACGGCGCCUUCUCCCCUUCCCCCCCUCUCUCCCUCGCUCCUCGUCCGUUGUUCGCUGGCAGCGCAGGGCGAGUGCGCCGGCAGUGCAGGCCGAGCCCCCAGUCGUGACGGCACCGGGCCGGCUCCUUCCUCUGUCCCUCCUCCCGUCCAUGUGCUGCCUUAGUCGCGGCGGCGCGAGGGCGCCCCUGGCACGGCGGUGUAGUGGCGACGCCCUUGCCAACAGCCCCCUCCUACUCCGUUCCCCGCGCUGGUGAGUCCCGAUGGCCUCUUCUCCUACAUCUCUCUCUCUUCCCAUCUUUCUCGAUGCGGGCGCAGCCAGGGCGGCCACGCCAUGGUUGACCUCGGCACGGCGGCUGCCGUCUUUCUCCGCCCCUACGCCUCCCUCGCGCCACACGGGCGGGGGCGACCGUGACCCCCACCGGUGGCUGGCAGUGCGGCCGCCCCCUGCUGCUGCCUCCUUCCGCUAAAUCGUGACUGUUCUGUUCCUAUGCUCCAUGAAACUUGCCUCUGCUGGAUCUAGCAGCACCUCAUCCUCUUUUCCUCCUCCGUCUCAUGCUUCAUCCCCAGAAAAUCCUGCUUGCGAAACCUGCAAAAGCAGCCGCCAUUUAUGCAAAUUCUAAUGUUCAUUGUGUAUAUGAGCGAGGAAGAAAAUAUAAAUCAACACAUGAUAGAAGAUAUCUUGAAGGUGUUCAAGUUAAAUCCUGGGAGGAGAUAACCCAGUGUUUUAAAUGAACCUGUCUUAGACAUGACUGAGCUUGGAUAUGAGGUGGUGCUGACAAUCCUGCUAGCAGAACCUGCAGAAGGUCCGCAUCUCGUGUCAUUAGCCUCCCCACCGCCGGUAAAAGAGGACAUCCAGUACACUGAUCAAUCUCGCCACAGGCUUCUUUCAGUAAUCGAUCUCGCCAAUAUCCAGGUUGCAGGAAACAAAUUUAUUCAGAUCAAGUGAGACUGGUGGUUGUUGUUACAUGGAGCGCUUCAUCAAGAGGAUUUGCUUAUCGACCAAUGUGACCCACUUAUUAAGGUAUGUUAUCUCCAUACUUCCUACAUAGAGGUAUCAUGAAUGCUUACGCUCUAAUUUUUAUUUAGAGAAUAAGUAACUAGAUGUGUUAUGUUUCCUUUUGCUUACUAAGUUAGCGUCAACUAAUGAUCGAAAAGUGAUAUUUCAUUCUUACCGGUGCUUCUAUUUACAUCAUAAGCAUUAUUAUCAAUUACAAGAGAGGCUCGCCCAUUAACGAGGCCUAUAUAUGAUAAUACAUUCAAAUUCUUGUGUGAUUACUACUUCUACAUAGGAUGAUGCCUACUAGCUCUUAUGUAGGUAGUGUCGCUGCUUAUACUCAAUCAAGCUGGUUCUGCUGCUUUGCUUUACUCUAAGUUUAUGCCUUCACUUUACUGUAGGUUGACGUAUUUAAUAUUAUUUCCUUCCUGGUACUUUCGCUGCAAAGACCGUUUCUCACCACAUAAAGGUGAAAUUAGCAGGUGCCAUGAUCUUAGCACUUGGAUAAAAAUCUUAGUAGUCAUCUACCGUAAAAUACUUACCAUCUAAUAAAAUUGAAUUUGAAACCAUAAGAGUACCAGUAUAGGUUAUCCUUGAAGUAUUUGGUACACUUACUAAACAAACUUGAAUUUGAAGUGAUUAUCUGUAAACCUGCAGUACCACGCAGUCUGCAGUGACGACAUUCACUAUCCUUCAACACGACACUUAAUUAUUAAUUCGUGCUCCAGGUGUGAGGCCAUUAUACUCAGAACCCGUACAGGCUCACAGAUUUGAGGCUAGAUGGAUGUUGGACCACUAAAUGGCACCUACUCAACCUGUUUACUCCUGUAUUAAUAUAUCUCCCUUUUUUUGCCUUAUGUCAUACUCCCCAUUAGUUUGGUAUUAUUUUACAAAAAAACAUGAGAAGAAAGACACCUCCUUGUUUUCUAAAAAAUCAGACACCUUAUCCAUGGAUUUCCAAGGCAUGGGGAAACUGUGCGCCUUUCUGGAUGUUGUAUGACCUUUUUAUGCACAAAUUUUCUUAUGCAGUUUGAAAAUUACAUAUUCAUUCUCAAACAUACUUUUGAAUGUAUUGGUAUGACAAAUACUGCAACAUCUAAAAUUGCUGCAAGGCUCUAUUUUCAUGCAUAGAAUUUUGUUGUUUAUCAUGUUUCCAUCCUUUUAGCUAAUUAAAAAUGCAUUUUAUACUAAUUUUGUCCCAUUUUUGAAACAAAAAAUCCUCAUGUUUGUAUGAUCGAUGGUGUGCGUUUCAAAUGUUGGCUCUCUAUUAGCAUUAUUGGUGUAGUUUUUUUAAUGGUAGAUUUCAUAAAGAUUAUGACUACUUAGAUUUUGGAGGGAUAGCAAAUUCUAUUUUCUUCCUCUAGCAAACAAAUUUCCAUUGACUCAAAAGUUAAGUGUGCUUCGUGUGUCCCUACUUUCCAUCAAUAGCAUCUUCACUUCCAGCAGAGAUACAUGGCAUGGACAAACUCCUCAGCAACCACCACCAUCGGCAGCAGAAAAUCAAACCUGUAAACAAUGUUUAUCUCAACUUCUUGUGCCAUGCUAUCCAAUGUGUGAAUAUCCAUUGUACAACAUGGCCUUCGAAAACUACAAGUAAUAUAUAGUCUUGUACUACCUUUUACUGUUUUCAGAGUUAAGCAGUAUAUAUAAUAUAUGUAUUAUGUGUAUAUUUACCUACUAUUGACUUACUGCUGGCUUUUGUACCAGCUCUGCCAAUCACUUCGCACUUCUUUUAUGUGGCGCCUGAACUCUCUUAUGUAUCGAACAUAACUUAGCACCCAUUACCGUCCACACUAUUUUAUA
This is a long non-coding RNA of Sorghum bicolor (sorghum), 2934 nucleotides long. RefSeq lists it as uncharacterized. The transcript is spliced from 5 exons. NCBI's taxonomy places the organism in Eukaryota, Viridiplantae, Streptophyta, Magnoliopsida, Poales, Poaceae. The record is from RefSeq and is a predicted model, not a curated record.